Molecule: ribosomal RNA, 538 nt
Filed under: uncultured bacterium
Lineage: Bacteria
Description: bacterial SSU rRNA
Rfam family: Bacterial small subunit ribosomal RNA
Source: RNAcentral
GGAAUCUUGCACAAUGGAGGAAACUCUGAUGCAGCGAUGCCGCGUGAGUGAAGAAGGCCUUUGGGUUGUAAAGCUCUUUUGUAGGGGAAGAUAAUGACUGUACCCUAAGAAUAAGGUCCGGCUAACUUCGUGCCAGCAGCCGCGGUAAUACGAAGGGACCUAGCGUAGUUCGGAAUUACUGGGCGUAAAGUGCGCGUAGGCCGUUGAGUUAGUUAAUUGUGAAAUCCCAAAGCUUAACUUGGGAACUGCAAUUACAACUGCUCGACUAGAGUUUGAUAGAGGAAAGCGGAAUACAUAGUGUAGAGGUGAAAUUCGUAGAUAUUAUGUAGAACACCAGUUGCGAAGGCGGCUUUCUGGAUCAACACUGACGCUGAGGCGCGAAAGUAUGGGUAGCAAAGAGGAUUAGAUACCCUCGUAGUCCAUACCAUAAACGAUGAUUGCUAGAUGUUGGAAAUUUAUUUUCAGUAUCGCAGCUAACGCAUUAAGCAAUCCGCCUGGGGAGUACGACCGCAAGGUUAAAACUCAAAUGAAUUGACGG